AGCAGCCUGUCCAUUUGCUUUCAUCCUAUUGAGUCCCUGUCUGUUGAGCCAAUUGGAAUCCCAUGAAGGAGGCAAAGAGUGAGAAGCUGACGAAACCAGAGGGGCUUCUUUGUCACUAGUUUAUAGAUACCACCAGCUAUAAACAUCCUGGAAAAGGAAGCGGAAGUUGCUAGCCUUUGCAGAACCAGCAUCUCCCCAGCAGAGUUUAAAGGAAAUUUCGGAACGAGUUCUCUCAGACACAAGGCAGCUCUCAAGGCACUCUGACUCUCCUCAGAUUUGCUAAUGGGAAUAUUUCAUGUCUCCUGACAUCGGCUUACUGUGGGAGAGCUGCAGAGAACUGGCUCCAUCCAGCUCAGCACCUCGAAUCAACGCAGCAACUGAACCACUUGGAAGCCAUCUGUGAAAGCAUAGCCAAGCAACCCGGGGUCCCACCAAAACCUUCAGCCUGGAAAGCAGUCAAUUUGGCGUGUCAGUGACCCUCUGUCUAAAACCCAUUAAGAAGUAAUAACCUGCCUCGGCCAUUCUGAUUCUGAUA
Microtus ochrogaster (prairie vole) is the source of this 535-nucleotide long non-coding RNA. RefSeq lists it as uncharacterized. The transcript is spliced from 3 exons. The record is from RefSeq and is a predicted model, not a curated record. Lineage: Eukaryota; Metazoa; Chordata; Mammalia; Rodentia; Cricetidae.